Molecule: unclassified non-coding RNA, 300 nt
Filed under: uncultured fungus
Lineage: Eukaryota; Fungi
Description: sequence contains 5.8S rRNA gene, ITS2
Rfam family: 5.8S ribosomal RNA (bases 1-71)
Source: RNAcentral
GUGAAUCAUCGAAUCUUUGAACGCAUAUUGCGCCCAAGACCUCGGUCGAGGGCAUGUCUGCCUCAGCGUCGGUAUAAACCCAUCGUUUCCCUCCCCUGUUAAACCAGGGGGGUCGGCCCAUCACUUGCUGGUGGGCUUGGAAGCGGAGCUGGCGUUCCCACGCUUCGUGCGUGGGUUGGCUGAAAAGCAGAGGCUAGAGCUAGGACCCAUCAUGGGCUCAACUGAAUAGGUAGACCUGGCGCCUAACGGCACCUCCUACACGAAGUUGUGGCUUGUGGUCCUCGGCUGGCGGCCUGCAGG